Molecule: ribosomal RNA, 283 nt
Filed under: uncultured soil bacterium
Lineage: Bacteria
Description: partial 16S ribosomal RNA
Rfam family: Bacterial small subunit ribosomal RNA
Source: RNAcentral
AGGACGAACGCUGGCGGCGUGCUUAACACAUGCAAGUCGAGCGGAAAGGCCUUUCGGGGUACUCGAGCGGCGAACGGGUGAGUAACACGUGAGUAAUCUGCCCAUCGCUUCAGGAUAGCCAUCGGAAACGGUGAUUAAUACUGGAUAUGACAUUCCUUCGCAUGUUGGGGUGUGGAAAGUUUUUUCGGCGGUGGAUGUGCUCGCGGCCUAUCAGCUUGUUGGUGGGGUAAUGGCCUACCAAGGCUUUGACGGGUAGCCGGCCUGAGAGGGUGACCGGCCACGA